AGAGCAAGAGAGGCCGCGGAAGGCCCAGGAAAGUGGAGAUAGCGCUAGAAGAAAAAGUAAAAGAUGGGAAGAGCAAGAGAGGCCGCGGAAGGCCCAGGAAAGUGGAGAUAGGGCUAGAAAAAGUUGAAGAUCGGGAAAGCAAGAGAGGCCGCGGAAGGCCCAGGAAAGUGGAGAUAGGGCUAGAAGAAAAAGUAAAAGAUGGGAAAAGCAAGAGAGGCCGCGGAAGGCCCAGGAAAGUGGCGUUAGAGCCAAAAGAAAAGGUAGAAGAUCGGAAAAGCAAUAGAGGCCUUAGAAGCCCUAGAAAUAUUGUUUCAGGGCCUGAAAAAAAAUUAACAGAUCAAAACAAAAAAGGCCUUGGUAGGCAGAAGAAUUCUGUUGCCAGACAGUUAGAAAGAAAUGACUUGAACCAAAAAAAAGGCCGAGCCCGAGGGAGACCUCGUAAAGAUAUAUUCGAAAAAAAAAUUAAUUCAAAUGAUUUUCAGGUAAAAAUUACUCUAACAAGAAAUAAGAAAAAUAGCAGCAGUAGCCAUACGAAUGCUGGAGAAGGAAGGCUCGCAAAAUAUUUUAAGAAUCUUGAUUUACGUGGAAUAUCUAAUGAAAAGUGUCACUUGGCUGUCAACAGGUCAUUAGACUUGCUUAUUGUUAUUCCUUUGAAUGAUGUUUAGAAUUUAUGAAGCAAGACAUUUUAUAAGUUUUUUUUUUAUCAUUUACUAAGGAAAUCAGCUGUGAAGUAAUAAGUUGUUCAAGGAUAUUUCGAGACAAUUUAUCCUAUUAAUUAUUGUAAAUAAUUUCAUAAUUAUAAUAGAUGGCCUAAAUCUGCAGUCACUGGAUGCAGUACUUAAGUUUGAGAAGGAUAGUUGCUGGAUCUCUUCUUGAUAAAGAUUCCAAGGUAUUACUGCAGAUUGUAUUUGAUAUUAUUUGUGGAAAGGCGUUCAGAUGAUGCUAUCCAACUUAUGGAAAGAACAGGCAGCCACCUCUAAAAUGUGUAGAGAUAUUCCAGAGUUGGGUAAAGCCCUUCAUCACAUUAAGCGUCUAACAACGGAAAUGGCCUAAAUCUGCAGUCACUGGAUGCAGUAAUGUUUGAAGGAUAGUUGCUGGAUCUCUGCUUGAUAAAGAUUCCAAAGUAAGUGGCUCUACCUUAGAAAAUGCACUUCCAAUUCUGCUUAUUUACUAUAAGAUUCAGGGCCUUUGUAACACGGUUUUUUCGCAAUAACUUUUUAUCUAUGCAUUUCAAGAAUA
Macrobrachium nipponense is the source of this 1239-nucleotide long non-coding RNA. RefSeq lists it as uncharacterized. NCBI's taxonomy places the organism in Eukaryota, Metazoa, Arthropoda, Malacostraca, Decapoda, Palaemonidae. The transcript has 3 exons. The record is from RefSeq and is a predicted model, not a curated record.